AGUCAUCGAAUCGGCACUAGAGGGUUGAGAUUGAACCUUCUGGAUUGAGGUGACACGGCCCAAUCUAAGCCCUCCGAUGCCGAUCCGAUGAUUGAGAGUUCGGGUGGGCAGCUGCCCCUAUGUUCACAAAGUAUUUAACCACCCUUUUAAAUUUGAUCUGAUUUCACCAAAUGCAAAUUUCGCCGCAGCAAGGGAGAUCAACAUAUAUUGGACCACCAAAGCUCUCUCUCGUUUCAAAUCGGGUUCUUACAAAGAAGGUGGUUGAACAAGCACGGCCCAUGUUUGUUUUAAACAGAGGAUGGAGUUUAGCCGUCGACUCCACAAAACGACACCAGUUCCCUUUUGUCUUCCUUCAGAUUUCUUAGGCCCGCUUCGUGCUAUUAUUGUAAAUUUGGAAAAUUUUUACUUGUGUGGAUGAAAUGAAGAGUAGUCACACUUUUUUCCUGCGGGUACAAGAGAAGUCACACUCCCUCCCUUCCAAAUUUUCUAGACGUAUAUAUGCAUAAUAAUAUUUAUGCGGAUCGAGUAUAUAGUAUAUGUGUAUACAUAAUAAAUAGAAAAAGGAAAAAAAGAAGAGGGGGAAAAAAUUCUAUUGACCUCCUUCCCUGGGCGCGCGGGUAACUAGGGGAGAAAUGCGGCGACGACGAGUAGUAGGAGACGAAGAUUCUAUU
This 671-nucleotide long non-coding RNA is filed under the name Setaria italica (foxtail millet). RNAcentral's name for it is "long non-coding RNA (SITA_LNC004413)". Lineage: Eukaryota; Viridiplantae; Streptophyta; Magnoliopsida; Poales; Poaceae. The record is from RNAcentral.